RNAcentral lists this long non-coding RNA (479 nucleotides) under Mytilus galloprovincialis (Mediterranean mussel). The record is from RNAcentral. Lineage: Eukaryota; Metazoa; Mollusca; Bivalvia; Mytilida; Mytilidae.
CCUAAACAAAUAUAUACUAGUCCAGUGAUAAUGAACGCCAUACUUAUUUCCAAAUUGUACACAAGAAACUAAAAUUAAAAUAAUACAAGACUAACAAAGGCCAGAGGCUCCUGACUUGGGACAGGCGCAAAAAUGCGGCGGGGUUAAACAUGUUUGUGAGAUCUCAACCCUCCCCCUAUACCUCUAACCAAUGUAGUAAAGUAAACGCAUAACAAUACGCACAUUAAAAUUCAGUUUAAGAGAAAUCCGAGUCUGAUGUCAGAAGAUGUAACCAAAGAAAAAUAAACAAAAUGACAAUAAUACAUAAAUAACAACAGACUUCUAGCAGUUAACUGACAUGCCAGCUCCAGACUUCAAUUAAACUGACUGAAAGAUUAUGAUUUCAUCAUAUGAACAUCAGGCACAAUCCUUCCCGUUAGGGGUUUAGUAUCAUACCAUCAUAACAUAUAUGAGAAGAACAUAACCCGUGUCAUGCCAAC